GCGUGCCCGACCCUCACCCGACACCUCCUCGCACCGAGUCUUCUUCCCCCGCCGAACCCGUGCCCUAACCGCACGCGGCUGUUUUCUUCUCCCCCUCCCGCGUACAAAACCUAAGCCGUGGCCAAGGGAAGCCAAAACUUCUCUUCUCCUUCCCUCCCGAGCAGCUCACCCGACGCACGCAGACCUUCUCUACACCUCUCCUCUUGUCGCGUCACCCUCGGGUCGCCACAGCCGACAGUGGUGUCGCCAGCCGAGCCCUAGAUCGGGGGAGAUCAGGAACACCGAUCGGCCAGUCGAACCCUAGGUCUGGUCCCUGGGCGCCGACCGAAGCCUCCUCAUCCUCCUCGCCUCCUUCUCCUCAGAAUCCAAGCCUCCCGAGCCGCACAUCACCGGCAACAGUCUUCCCUUUUGCCCUAGCGUCGAUCGUCUCCUCUCUGCCUUGCUUUCGCUCCCUGUUGCUGUGUUGCUAGCGCACUGUGCCCUAGAUUGCUGGAAGCCGAGAGCUGGAGAAGGUGACAGCGAGCAGUAGUAAUUCGGCUGUGUGAUUGAAGUGAAGGAUUCCAGCAGGAAGGGUUGUUCGGUGGGUUUUCUUAGGUUCCAGCAGCAAUUAACCUUUGCUGGCAGCAACAGUCCUUGUGUGGAUCAACAAGCACGGUUGUGAAUUUAGGUUGAGACUGUCCGGAGGAGUUCCAGUCGCUAGUCCCCUGCAGAUUGCGAUGAUGUGUUUUA
This is a long non-coding RNA of Zingiber officinale, 729 nucleotides long. RefSeq lists it as uncharacterized. The record is from RefSeq and is a predicted model, not a curated record. The transcript is spliced from 3 exons. Lineage: Eukaryota; Viridiplantae; Streptophyta; Magnoliopsida; Zingiberales; Zingiberaceae.